AUGAAGCUCCUAUGCUGGAACAUUAGGGGCUUCAGCAACCUAGGCCGCCGACGCCAACUAAUUGACUACAUCCGGCAGGAAGAUAUUGACAUAGUGGGUCUUCAGGAGACAAUUCGUCAAGAUUUCUCCAUCCAUGAGCUACAUGGGCUUUCUCGUCAC
RNAcentral lists this ribosomal RNA (159 nucleotides) under Triticum aestivum (bread wheat). Its description in RNAcentral is "partial small subunit ribosomal RNA". Lineage: Eukaryota; Viridiplantae; Streptophyta; Magnoliopsida; Poales; Poaceae. The record is from RNAcentral.